UUCCGUAGGUGAACCUGCGGAWGGAUCAUUACCUAGAGUUGUAGGCUUUGCCUGCUAUCUCUUACCCAUGUCUUUUAAGUACCUUACGUUUCCUCGGCGGGUCCGCCCGCCGAUUGGACAAUUUAAACCAUUUGCAGUUGCAAUCAGCGUCUGAAAAAACUUAAUAGUUACAACUUUCAACAACGGAUCUCUUGGUUCUGGCAUCGAUGAAGAACGCAGCGAAAUGCGAUAAGUAGUGUGAAUUGCAGAAUUCAGUGAAUCAUCGAAUCUUUGAACGCACAUUGCGCCCCUUGGUAUUCCAUGGGGCAUGCCUGUUCGAGCGUCAUUUGUACCUUCAAGCUCUGCUUGGUGUUGGGUGUUUGUCUCGCCUCUGCGUGUAGACUCGCCUCAAAACAAUUGGCAGCCGGCGUAUUGAUUUCGGAGCGCAGUACAUCUCGCGCUUUGCACUCAUAACGACGACGUCCAAAAGUACAUUUUUACACUCUUGACCUCGGAUCAGGUAGGGAUMCCCRCUGAACUUAAGCAUAUCAAUAAGCGGAGGA
This 542-nucleotide ribosomal RNA is filed under the name Coniella diplodiella. RNAcentral's name for it is "eukaryotic LSU rRNA". The stretch from base 172 to 325 matches the Rfam family "5.8S ribosomal RNA". The record is from RNAcentral. Lineage: Eukaryota; Fungi; Ascomycota; Sordariomycetes; Diaporthales; Schizoparmaceae.